This 783-nucleotide ribosomal RNA is filed under the name uncultured bacterium. Its description in RNAcentral is "bacterial SSU rRNA". It matches the Rfam family "Bacterial small subunit ribosomal RNA", at positions 28 to 794 of the family's 1533-position model. The record is from RNAcentral.
GACGAACGCUGGCGGCGUGCCUAAUACAUGCAAGUCGAGCGGAGUUGAUGAGGUGCUUGCACCUCUGAUGCUUAGCGGCGGACGGGUGAGUAACACGUAGGCAACCUGCCCUCAAGACCGGGAUAACAUUCGGAAACGAAUGCUAAGACCGGAUACGCAAGUCUGUCGCAUGAUGGGCUUGGGAAACACGGAGCAAUCUGUGGCUUGAGGAUGGGCCUGCGGCGCAUUAGCUAGUUGGUGGGGUAACGGCUCACCAAGGCGACGAUGCGUAGCCGACCUGAGAGGGUGAACGGCCACACUGGGACUGAGACACGGCCCAGACUCCUACGGGAGGCAGCAGUAGGGAAUCUUCCACAAUGGGCGAAAGCCUGAUGGAGCAACGCCGCGUGAGUGAGGAAGGCUUUCGGGUCGUAAAGCUCUGUUGCCAGGGAAGAAUAAGGAUGAGUUAACUGCUCAUUCGAUGACGGUACCUGAGAAGAAAGCCCCGGCUAACUACGUGCCAGCAGCCGCGGUAAUACGUAGGGGGCAAGCGUUGUCCGGAAUUAUUGGGCGUAAAGCGCGCGCAGGCGGUCUUUUAAGUCUGGUGUAUAAGUGCGGGGCUCAACCCCGUGAGGCACUGGAAACUGGGAGACUUGAGUGCAGAAGAGGAGAGCCGGAAUUCCACGUGUAGCGGUGAAAUGCGUAGAGAUGUGGAGGAACACCAUGGCGAAGCGGCUCUCUGGACUGUAACUGACGCUGAGGCCCGAAGCCUGGGGAGCAAACAGGAUUAGAUACCCUGGUAGU